This 450-nucleotide ribosomal RNA is filed under the name uncultured bacterium. Its description in RNAcentral is "SSU rRNA". It matches the Rfam family "Bacterial small subunit ribosomal RNA", at positions 26 to 467 of the family's 1533-position model. The record is from RNAcentral.
AGAACGAACGCUGGCGGCGUGGAUAAGACAUGCAAGUCGGACGCGACUUAUCUGAUUAGCAAUAAUGAGGUAAGUUGAGUGGCGAAAGGGUGCGUAACACGUGGGAAUUUACCAAGAAGUGGGGAAUAGCUCGACGAAAGUCGAAUUAAUACCGCAUGUGAUCGUAAGAUCAAAGCCGGGGACCGCAAGGCCUGGCGCUUUUUGAGAAGCCCGCGGCCCAUCAGCUAGUUGGCGAGGUAAUGGCUCACCAAGGCUAUGACGGGUAGCUGGUCUGAGAGGACGACCAGCCACACUGGAACUGAGACACGGUCCAGACACCUACGGGUGGCAGCAGUCGAGAAUUUUCACAAUGGGGGAACCCUGAUGGAGCGACGCCGCGUGGAGGAUGAAGGUUCUUGGAUUGUAAACUCCUGUCACUGCAGAACAAGGAUACGCCAGUUAACAGCCGGC